CCUACGGGUGGCAGCAGUGAGGAAUAUUGGUCAAUGGCCGUAAGGCUGAACCAGCCAAGUAGCGUGAGGGAAGACUGCCCUCUGGGUUGUAAACCUCUUUUAUGCGGGGAUAAAGGUGUCCACGUGUGGAUGUUUGCAGGUACCGCAUGAAUAAGGACCGGCAAAUUCCGUGCCAGCCGCCGCGGUAAUACGGAGGAUACGAGCGUUAUCCGGAUUGAUUGGGUUAAAAGGGUGCGUAGGCGGAAUAGCAAGUCAGCGGUAAAAAUUCGGGGCUCACCCCCGUCGUGCCGUUGAAACUGAUGUUCUUGAGUGGGCGAGAAGUAUGCGGAAUGCGUGGUGUAGCGGUGAAAUGCAUAGAUAUCACGCAGAACUCCGAUUGCGAAGGCGGAUGACUGGACGGCAACUGACGGUGAGGCGCGAAAGCGUGGGGAGCAAACAGGAUUAGAUACCCUUGUAGUC
RNAcentral lists this ribosomal RNA (459 nucleotides) under uncultured bacterium. RNAcentral's name for it is "partial 16S ribosomal RNA". It matches the Rfam family "Bacterial small subunit ribosomal RNA", at positions 338 to 795 of the family's 1533-position model. The record is from RNAcentral.